AUCAACAGACAACGAGUCCUAAAUAGAACGAAACGCACGUCCUGGAU
RNAcentral lists this non-coding RNA (47 nucleotides) under Schistosoma mansoni. The record is from RNAcentral. Lineage: Eukaryota; Metazoa; Platyhelminthes; Trematoda; Strigeidida; Schistosomatidae.